AGUCGAGCGGAAAGGCCCUUCGGGGUACUCGAGCGGCGAACGGGUGAGUAACACGUGAGCAACCUGCCCUAGGCUUUGGGAUAACCCCGGGAAACCGGGGCUAAUACCGAAUAUGACCUCCGAUCGCAUGGUUGGUGGUGGAAAGUUUUUCGGCCUGGGAUGGGCUCGCGGCCUAUCAGCUUGUUGGUGGGGUGAUGGCCUACCAAGGCGACGACGGGUAGCCGGCCUGAGAGGGCGACCGGCCACACUGGGACUGAGACACGGCCCAGACUCCUACGGGAGGCAGCAGUGGGGAAUAUUGCACAAUGGGCGGAAGCCUGAUGCAGCGACGCCGCGUGAGGGAUGACGGCCUUCGGGUUGUAAACCUCUUUCAGCAGGGACGAAGCGUAAGUGACGGUACCUGCAGAAGAAGCGCCGGCCAACUACGUGCCAGCAGCCGCGGUAAGACGUAGGGCGCGAGCGUUGUCCGGAUUUAUUGGGCGUAAAGAGCUCGUAGGCGGCUUGUCGCGUCGACCGUGAAAACCUGGGGCUCAACCCCAGGCCUGCGGUCGAUACGGGCAGGCUAGAGUUCGGUAGGGGAGACUGGAAUUCCUGGUGUAGCGGUGAAAUGCGCAGAUAUCAGGAGGAACACCGGUGUCGAAGCGGGUCUCUGG
This 653-nucleotide ribosomal RNA is filed under the name Micromonospora sp. H775. RNAcentral's name for it is "bacterial SSU rRNA". It matches the Rfam family "Bacterial small subunit ribosomal RNA", at positions 60 to 732 of the family's 1533-position model. The record is from RNAcentral. Lineage: Bacteria; Bacillati; Actinomycetota; Actinomycetes; Micromonosporales; Micromonosporaceae.